AGUUCUGUGGCUUAGUUGUUUAAUGCGCUGGUCUGGCGAAUUAUGGAGUCGAGGGUUCGAAUCCCACCAGAAUGU
This is a non-coding RNA of Aedes albopictus (Asian tiger mosquito), 75 nucleotides long. NCBI's taxonomy places the organism in Eukaryota, Metazoa, Arthropoda, Insecta, Diptera, Culicidae. The record is from Rfam.